UGUUACAAGUGGAAGCUCCGAAAGGCGAC
Molecule: non-coding RNA, 29 nt
Filed under: Rattus norvegicus (Norway rat)
Lineage: Eukaryota; Metazoa; Chordata; Mammalia; Rodentia; Muridae
Source: RNAcentral